CUGGCCUGCUCACUGACGGAGUUUUAAAGAGCCGCGGUAUUUUGACCGUGCAAAGGUAGCAUAAUCAUUAGUCUCUUAAUUAGGGGCUUGAAUGAAUGGCUUGACGAGAAAUCAUCUGUCUCUUAUUAAAUUCUAGAAAUUAACUUUUAAGUUAAAAGGCUUAAAUUUUUCUUUAAGACGAGAAGACCCUAUAGAGCUUAACAUUUUAUUUUUAUAUAAUUUUUAGUUGAUCUUUUUAUAUUUAAAGAUAAUGUUUUGUUGGGGUGACAUGAAGAAUAAAUAAACUCUUCAUUCUAAAAUCAUUAAUUUAUGUUUAAUAUGAUCCAUAAUUUAUGAUCAUAAGAUUAAGUUACCUUAGGGAUAACAGCGUAAUUGUUUUUGAGAGCUCAUAUUGACAAAGCAGAUUGCGACCUCGAUGUUGGAUUAAGAAUAAUUUUGGGUGCAGUAGCCCAAUAAUUAGGUCUGU
This 466-nucleotide ribosomal RNA is filed under the name Parapodisma subastris. RNAcentral describes it as "partial 16S ribosomal RNA". It matches the Rfam family "Archaeal large subunit ribosomal RNA", at positions 1946 to 2649 of the family's 2987-position model. The record is from RNAcentral. Lineage: Eukaryota; Metazoa; Arthropoda; Insecta; Orthoptera; Acrididae.